CAGCCGCCGCGGUAAUACGUAGGUGGCAAGCGUUGUCCGGAAUUAUUGGGCGUAAAGGGCUCGCAGGCGGUUUCUUAAGUCUGAUGUGAAAGCCCCCGGCUCAACCGGGGAGGGUCAUUGGAAACUGGGAAACUUGAGUGCAGAAGAGGAGAGUGGAAUUCCACGUGUAGCGGUGAAAUGCGUAGAGAUGUGGAGGAACACCAGUGGCGAAGGCGACUCUCUGGUCUGUAACUGACGCUGAGGAGCGAAAGCGUGGGGAGCGAACAGGAUUAGAUACCCGUGAGUCCCUGUCUCUUAUACA
RNAcentral lists this ribosomal RNA (301 nucleotides) under uncultured bacterium. RNAcentral's name for it is "partial 16S ribosomal RNA". It matches the Rfam family "Bacterial small subunit ribosomal RNA", at positions 509 to 808 of the family's 1533-position model. The record is from RNAcentral.